GAUGAACGCUGGCGGCGUGCUUAACACAUGCAAGUCGAACGGAAAGGCCCAAGCUUGCUUGGGUACUCGAGUGGCGAACGGGUGAGUAACACGUGGGUGAUCUGCCCUGCACUUCGGGAUAAGCCUGGGAAACUGGGUCUAAUACCGGAUAGGACCACUUCUUGGAUGUUGUGGUGGAAAGUUUUUUCGGUGUGGGAUGAGCUCGCGGCCUAUCAGCUUGUUGGUGGGGUAAUGGCCUACCAAGGCGUCGACGGGUAGCCGGCCUGAGAGGGUGUACGGCCACAUUGGGACUGAGAUACGGCCCAGACUCCUACGGGAGGCAGCAGUGGGGAAUAUUGCACAAUGGGCGCCAGCCUGAUGCAGCGACGCCGCGUGGGGGAUGACGGCCUUCGGGUUGUAAACUCCUUUCGCUAGGGACGAAGCGUUUUGUGACGGUACCUGGAGAAGAAGCACCGGCUAACUACGUG
This 467-nucleotide ribosomal RNA is filed under the name uncultured bacterium. RNAcentral's name for it is "partial 16S ribosomal RNA". It matches the Rfam family "Bacterial small subunit ribosomal RNA", at positions 28 to 507 of the family's 1533-position model. The record is from RNAcentral.